CAUGGUAACUGAAGAUGAAAAUUUUUGGUGAGAACCUGCCUUUUCAUUCCUCACACCAUGCUUUCCAGAUUCCCCCUCAGAUUUAUACUGCAGCUCUGAGACUCUUCUGUGAAAUAUGCUUAAAGUCUUGCUCAUAUCUCCCUGGAACUACACACUGGUGAGCACAGUCGUGUGUGCUGCACAGCUUGGGUACCAGAGCAGAUGCUUCUGCACUGACUGUCCCUGUGGAAAACAGUUUCACCUUUGUUCCUCUAAUGGCUCCCAGAGUUCAUCUUCCACCUUCCCACCUGGGUGAAGGCAACCCUACUGGGAUCUCUCUCAUCCUUCCAUUAACAACCAAAUGUCUAAAUACUGGAUUAUAACUGAGUUUAUAACUCUGUGUGUUCUUUUUGUGGUGAACUCCCGUGAAGCAAACAGGGAGAGAGCCGCUACCUCCAGAGAGGUACAGAAUUCAGAGAAAAGCAUAUGUGGUCUCUUUAGACAACUCAGGGCUUCUUGCCAGGCUUGCCUCAGUUCAACAAGAGAGACUGCUAUCUGCUAGUGUGUUCUGAGAGGGCGCUUCUUUCAGCAAAUACAAGGCACCAACUCUUCUGGGAGACAAAACCAAUUAAGAGGCAAUCAGUUGCUCCAGGAUAUGGCAGCUGACACAUUUAUCUCGUUUUGCGUGACAGGCACAAAGGGGUCUUCUCACCAAACUGAUCACGGGAUGACAAUAUGGAAAAAGAGGUUAUUUUUGUAGAUCUUUGCCUGCCUACAAAGAGGUUAGAUUUGAUGCAAGGUAGACUGGACAGUUAUGGAUUUUGAUCUUCUAUGAACUUCUGAGCUGCUACAAUUUUUAUGAGACUCCACAAGAUUGGUUGUCUACUGAGGGUUUCACAGUCAUACUGAAUUCAUGCUAAAGAUAAUGGGAAAGGACUGACACUCCCGGAAGCUGACUCUGCAGGGAACCCUGAAUACUCUCUUGUCUGCGGAAGCAAAUCAGGAAAAGCAGCUGGAUUAUACUGGCAAAUACCUCAGGAAGGAAGAACUAAUUGCUCCUAUCAUUACUGGAGAGCCAGAUACGAAGAAGGUGUCAUAUGAGGGGAUCAACAUGCGACAGGAAAAUACACAGCAUCCAAAAAAGGAAAACCCUGUAAGAGUUUGUUAAAGUAAACAAUGACUGCGUAUGAAUAGUAUAUCGUCUUGCAGAAGUUCAGUAAGUAUGUGUGCGUCAUCAGAUUUUGACAGAGUAAGUAUUUGUUUCUUCUGCUUGCGUGUAGAAAUACAUCUGUAGAGGCUUUACUAGAAUAUUCUGCAAUUUUCUGUCCAGGUUCAGUCGUUAUACAGGCCGAGAGAUUCUUACUUACAGGACUUCAUUUUACUGCACUCAGAAGUUGAAGCUCAAACGACCACUGGAAAUGGCAGAAAGUGAGCCAUGGCAGAACCGUGUAGAGAAGUUUUCGGUACUCAGGACAUGGACUGGAUGGGAAUAUUUUUUUUUUUUUUUAAGUAAAAAACCCACUCUCUUAGGACAGAGUGAUGGCGGGAAGCCACUCUGUUCCUAUAAAAAGUUUAGAGUUUUAUGACUGAAAAUCCUGACAAUGAGGCCAAGCACAGAGGAUGACAGAAGCACUGUGAUAUUCAUUCAUUUCAAAAAAUACUGAAUGAGUGAAGCUGGGCCAUGCUUACCAACAUAACCGUCCUUCCAAAAGACACUUUGAGAUCUUGGUACAUCUCAAACAGAGAUGUCAAUGUCUGUAAUCCUAGCAGAAUGAUAUUUCGCAUAUCUAUAGCAUCUUCAAAAUGAGAAGAUCCAAAUUUCCUUAUAGUAAACUAUUUCAUCUAAAAUUUUAUUUUUACACAUAUAUAAAUAUGUGUGUGUAUAUAUAUCUUCUACCAGAAAUAAUGACAGUUUGGGAUUGUCUAGUAGAUUUCCACUUUUGAAAUAAUAUGGGGAAAAUAAUUUUCCUCAUAUAUUUCUUAAUUGGAUAAAUAGGUGGUAGGUGAAAAAUACCAUCUGGGAUCUAUUGGCUGAGAAGUUUCAUAGGGCAGAUAAACCAAUCAUGAUCUACGACUGGAUCAAGUUAUUAAUCAUGUGCUUUUAAUUGUUAGUUUCAAUCCUUACAUGGAAUGCAAUUGGUUUUUUGUCUAUAAUAUCUGUUAUAUUCCAUAGCAUUUCAUAAGAGAUCUUUAAACAAAAGAUAUUGCACUUUCUGAAACUAAUAGAGAAAUUGGUUU
This is a long non-coding RNA of Calidris pugnax (ruff), 2217 nucleotides long. RefSeq lists it as uncharacterized. The transcript has 9 exons. Lineage: Eukaryota; Metazoa; Chordata; Aves; Charadriiformes; Scolopacidae. The record is from RefSeq and is a predicted model, not a curated record.